Nerophis lumbriciformis (worm pipefish) is the source of this 542-nucleotide long non-coding RNA. RefSeq lists it as uncharacterized. The record is from RefSeq and is a predicted model, not a curated record. NCBI's taxonomy places the organism in Eukaryota, Metazoa, Chordata, Actinopteri, Syngnathiformes, Syngnathidae.
GUUUUCUCACCCUGGUGCUGUCACUGAUCUCCAUGUGGGCCAGAAGUUUCCCGUUGAUGCUGAAGUUGCAGAAGCGUCCUCCCUCGUAGUAAACGAUGCAGUGUCCCUCACUGGACACUGAGAUGAGGCGAGGACACCUGAAGUGUUCAGGAGCCUCCAGAGCUCGCAGGAGAUCUCCUGUGAUGGACGUGUGGAGGACAUUUGCUGACCUUUGGCCCCGCUGAUGACCAGACCCAGCUCUGCACAGACCGCCACACACGCCACUUCCUGGUCGUGACCCGUGAGGACCGCCCGCGGCGCCGGGUAAUCAGCUAUAAGCAUCGACGACGUCCAGGGAAUUAAUUUCCUCUCCUCGGAGGAACCUGAGCGCUAAUUGGACGCAGCCGAGCCGAAACUCUUAAUGAAGUGUCGGCGCUUUGGCGGAGUUAAUUAUGGAAGAACGGUGCGACGUCGGAGCUGGCGGAGAAAAGGCGGGCUAAUUGGGGACGCGUGCACACUUUGAGGGCGCUGGUAAAAGCCAGCGUUACUCACUGUUGACGGGG